UAGGGAAUAUUAGUAAUGGGCGCAAGCCUGAACUAGCAAUGCCGCGUGUGCGAAGAAGGCCUUCGGGCUGUAAAGCACUUUUCGAGAGGAUGAGGAAGGACGGUACUCUCAGAAUAAGUCUCGGCUAACUACGUGCCAGCAGCCGCGGUAACACGUAGGAGGCGAACGUUAUCCGGAUUUACUGGGCGUAAAGCGCGUGCAGGUGGUUUGGUAAGUAGGGCGUGAAAGCUCCUGGCUCAACUGGGAGAGGCCGUUCUAAACUGCCGAACUAGAGGAUGGUAGAGGGAGGUGGAAUUCCGGGUGUAGCGGUAGAAUGCGCAGAUAUCCGGAGGAACACCAGUGGCGAAAGCGGCCUCCUGGACCAUUCCUGACACUCAGACGCGAAAGCUAGGGUAGCAAACGG
Molecule: ribosomal RNA, 403 nt
Filed under: uncultured bacterium
Lineage: Bacteria
Description: bacterial SSU rRNA
Rfam family: Bacterial small subunit ribosomal RNA
Source: RNAcentral